CUAAUAAUGCGCAAUGCAUCACCUAUCUCAAAAGAGGCUCCCCAAACCCUCGGAUUUAUUAGGACUAACUGGCCGGUCUCUUACUCUCCAGACAAAAUUUCUACUUUUUCUCUCUCAAGUUGCAAAACAACUAUUUCUAAUGAUGGAUUAAAAACCUGAAGCUGCUAUUCCAUUAUGAACCUCUAUCUAGUAGCUACUGCAAACUGCUCAGCUCCUUUGCUUGAAACCUCCAGGAGGGCUCUGGUGAGUAAGAAAAGCAGAAGAAAAUUGCUUCCGGGAUUGCUGGGUAAGAACUGCCUCUGGUGCUCUCUGGAGCAUACUAUCUCUUUAUAAGAAGCAGACAAACCAGGAGUCAGGGGGGAGUUCACAUCAAAUCACCUUCAGAAGCUGUCAACAGUCCCAGAGAACUACCUUAGUGGACGGAAAGAAGGAUGCGGAAAAAGGAGAGAUGAUGCAGCCUUGCUUUACGUUUGCAAAUUGGAUAAAUAAGGAAAAUAUUUAAUUCUUUAAAAAAAUGUUAAAUAAAUGGGAGCUUUUCAACUUGA
Non-coding RNA from Homo sapiens (human), 545 nucleotides. The record is from RefSeq and is a predicted model, not a curated record. NCBI's taxonomy places the organism in Eukaryota, Metazoa, Chordata, Mammalia, Primates, Hominidae.